UUUUUCUGUACCAUAGGUUGAUAAUAGAGUCCAGGAAAAGAGUUGUUUAGAAAGAUCGAGGUUUGAUGAGUAGUAGGGGCAUCAAACAAGAUUACUUAGGCUUGAUCUAAGAAGCAGUAUCAGAAAACUUAGGCUUGGUCUAGAGAGAGAGAAGCUAUGCAUUUUGGUAAGAACAGGGAUUGAUGAGCAAUAAGGACAUCAAACAAGAUUAUCUAGGC
This 218-nucleotide long non-coding RNA is filed under the name Elaeis guineensis (African oil palm). RNAcentral's name for it is "long non-coding RNA (EGUI_LNC003105)". Lineage: Eukaryota; Viridiplantae; Streptophyta; Magnoliopsida; Arecales; Arecaceae. The record is from RNAcentral.